This 444-nucleotide ribosomal RNA is filed under the name uncultured bacterium. RNAcentral describes it as "bacterial SSU rRNA". It matches the Rfam family "Bacterial small subunit ribosomal RNA", at positions 958 to 1400 of the family's 1533-position model. The record is from RNAcentral.
AACGCGAAGAACCUUACCAGCCCUUGACAUCCCGGUCGCGGACUCCAGAGACGGAGUCCUUCAGUUCGGCUGGACCGGAGACAGGUGCUGCAUGGCUGUCGUCAGCUCGUGUCGUGAGAUGUUGGGUUAAGUCCCGCAACGAGCGCAACCCCCGUCCUUAGUUGCUACCAUUUAGUUGAGCACUCUGACGAAACCGCCUCGGAUAACGGGGAGGAAGGUGGGGAUGACGUCAAGUCCUCAUGGCCUUUAUGUCCAGGGCUACACACGUGCUACAAUGGCCGGUACAAACCGUCGCAAACCCGCGAGGGGGAGCUAAUCGGAAAAAGCCGGCCUCAGUUCGGAUUAGAGUCUGCAACUCGACUCUAUGAAGCUGGAAUCGCUAGUAAUCGCGGAUCAGAAUGCCGCGGUGAAUACGUUCCCGGGCCUUGUACACACCGUAGAGAC